This is a long non-coding RNA of Scylla paramamosain (green mud crab), 434 nucleotides long. RefSeq lists it as uncharacterized. The transcript has 3 exons. The record is from RefSeq and is a predicted model, not a curated record. Lineage: Eukaryota; Metazoa; Arthropoda; Malacostraca; Decapoda; Portunidae.
CACUGGUCGACACUCACUCAUCGGCAGCGUUAACACGAGAAAUCUUGUAAUCUGUCUUGUAUUCUCCAUUCCUUCAGUCUCUCAAAACUUACCUGAGUGACUGGAGGUAUCGGAGCAUGGCCCACAAGGUCUUCAAUGGCUGGCCUGUCCACGGCGCCGCCAAUCACCCACACCUUCUUCAGGGUAUUUGGUGGCAGGAGGGAAAAGACGGCUUCAGCCUGGUCUAGCAGCUCAGCGUGUACUAUUGCCCAGCUAGCACCGCUUAGCCGCAUGGCGUGCAUCAUGCCCUCUGUGCCACUGCUGUUGCUCCCGUUGGUUCUACUGCUGGUCCUCUUGGUUCUUGAUUGUAGUGCAGGAAUCUUGGCGGCCCUCCUGGCACUUGUUGUUAAUGAUGGCAUCUCUUGGUAAGGUGAAGAAGAUUGCUUUUUGGCAUU